CAGUAGCCGCGGGAAUACGUAGGUGGCAAGCGUUGUCCGGGAUUAUUGGGCGUAAAGGGCUCGCAGGCGGUUUCUUAAGUCUGAUGUGAAAGCCCCCGGCUCAACCGGGGAGGGUCAUUGGAAACUGGGAAACUUGAGUGCAGAAGAGGAGAGUGGAAUCCCACGUGUAGCGGUGAAAUGCGUAGAGAUGUGGAGGAACACCAGUGGCGAAGGCGACUCUCUGGUCUGUAACUGACGCUGAGGAGCGAAAGCGUGGGGAGCGAACAGGAUUAGAUACCCCCGUAGUCCCUGUCUCUUAUAC
RNAcentral lists this ribosomal RNA (301 nucleotides) under uncultured bacterium. RNAcentral's name for it is "partial 16S ribosomal RNA". It matches the Rfam family "Bacterial small subunit ribosomal RNA", at positions 509 to 807 of the family's 1533-position model. The record is from RNAcentral.